UGGGGAAUUUUGGACAAUGGACGCAAGUCUGAUCCAGCCAUGCCGCGUGCGGGAAGAAGGCCUUCGGGUUGUAAACCGCUUUUGUCAGGGAAGAAACGAGUUUCUCUAAUACAGAGACUUAAUGACGGUACCUGAAGAAUAAGCACCGGCUAACUACGUGCCAGCAGCCGCGGUAAUACGUAGGGUGCAAGCGCUAAUCGGAAUUACUGGGCGUAAAGCGUGCGCAGGCGGUUAUAUAAGACAGAUGUGAAAUCCCCGGGCUCAACCUGGGACCUGCAUUUGUGACUGCAUAGCUAGAGUACGGCAGAGGGGGAUGGAAUUCCGCGUGUAGCAGUGAAAUGCGUAGAUAUGCGGAGGAACACCGAUGGCGAAGGCAAUCCCCUGGGCCUGUACUGACGCUCAUGCACGAAAGCGUGGGGAGCAAACA
RNAcentral lists this ribosomal RNA (427 nucleotides) under uncultured bacterium. RNAcentral's name for it is "bacterial SSU rRNA". It matches the Rfam family "Bacterial small subunit ribosomal RNA", at positions 355 to 774 of the family's 1533-position model. The record is from RNAcentral.